CCUACGGGCGGCAGCAGUGGGGAAUAUUGGACAAUGGGGGGAACCCUGAUCCAGCCAUGCCGCGUGUGUGAAGAAGGCCCUCGGGUUGUAAAGCACUUUCAGUGAGGAAGAACGCCUGGUGGUUAAUACCCAUCAGGAAAGACAUCACUCACAGAAGAAGCACCGGCUAACUCCGUGCCAGCAGCCGCGGUAAUACGGAGGGUGCGAGCGUUAAUCGGAAUUACUGGGCGUAAAGCGCGCGUAGGUGGCUUGAUAAGCCGGUUGUGAAAGCCCCGGGCUCAACCUGGGAACGGCAUCCGGAACUGUCAAGCUAGGGUGCAGGAGAGGAAAGUAGAAUUCCCGGUGUAGCGGUGAAAUGCGUAGGGGUCGGGAGGAAUACCAGUGGCGAAGGCGGCCUUCUGGACUGGACCUGACACUGGGGUGCGAAAGCGUGGGUAGCAAACAGGAUUAGAUACCCGUGUAGUC
RNAcentral lists this ribosomal RNA (465 nucleotides) under Vreelandella stevensii. Its description in RNAcentral is "partial 16S ribosomal RNA". It matches the Rfam family "Bacterial small subunit ribosomal RNA", at positions 338 to 795 of the family's 1533-position model. Lineage: Bacteria; Pseudomonadati; Pseudomonadota; Gammaproteobacteria; Oceanospirillales; Halomonadaceae. The record is from RNAcentral.